AUGAUAUAUGGACUCUCUAUAGACUGUCUAUUGCCGAUUUUUUUAAUUAGAGUGAGUAAUGUAGUCAAACGAAGGUGCUUAAUAGUUUUAAUGUUAUUAAUGUCUGGGAAUGUAUUGUCUAACCCAGGACCUUAUGCUGCUUCAAAUUUUACUACUCCGACUGAACUAAAAUCCAGGUCAGGACUGGGUUUUAUUCACCUAAAUGUUCGUAGUCUGUUGCCAAAAUUAGAUAUGAUAUAUUUUUGGGCUAGAAAUACAAAUGUGGAUGUCAUAGUUAUAUCCGAAUCUUGGUUAAAUAAAUCGAUCUCAGACGAAUAAAUUAGUAUUUCUGGAUACAAGGUUUUUAGAGCUGAUAGACCAAAAAGGGGUAGAGGGGUGGCAAUUUAUGUCAAAGAACAUUUUGAGACAACAUGAGAAGGGUCUGGCUGCAGACUUGCACUUGCACUCUCAGACUUGCACUCUCAGACACUUCUGCUUCCGCUAGCGACGUCACUUGUAGUCUUUAUUAUUAUUUUUUUCUUCUUCUAUUUAUUGAUAACAUUUUGUUUGAAUCUUUCAACAUUUUACAACAGUAGCCAGGUGGUGAAGACAAGAAAAAAGAAACAAAAUUACAAUGUCACUUGCAAUCGCAACUUGCACUCUCCGCUACCUGUGACGUCACUUACAGUCAACACAAAUCGUGCAUGUUGCCAAUGGAGACAAGAUGCUGUGGCGGUGAUUAAACGAUUAAAGCUAAAUUAGUAGGCCUACUACUAUGCACAAAGUCUUUUGUUAACCGUUUUACUCCUGUAGAAAAAAACAAACACUUAAUAUGGCAUAAUGUAUUAGGAUACGUUACGUUCAAUUAAAAGACCAAAUUCGAUAUAUAGUUAUUAUUUAAUGUACAACAAGGCAAGCAGAUGGCUAUGAACACAAUGCGAACGCUUAAUGUGGCCUAAUAACAGACUAAGAUGAUAAAGACUAUUCAGCAUGCAUAGCCUAUAUGUCUUGUUGUUGACUCAACGUAUACACAGACCAGCAAAUAUGAACGUGCAUUAUGAAAUGCAUUAAGUGAUUUUAAAAGGAUCAACUCCAUACAGGCAAGCAGACGAGUACAGAACGCAGUGCUUUAAAUUGUACAUUAAACGUUUUCCUCCUAUAGAAAAUCAUUAUAAAUAAAAAACAUAAUGUAGCUUAAUUGACAAAGACAGUGAUAUAAACGACUUGUAGACAGUUUAUUCUAUAUGGAAAAAUGCUUAAUGCGAAACUUUGCGCGUUGCGUUUAUUCACCACCACAGCUUCUUGUCUCCAUUGGCAACAAGCACGAUUUGUAUCGAUUGCAAGUGUAGCAGAGAGUGCAAGUAGCGAUUGCAAGUGACAUUGUAAUUUAGUUAAUUUUUUUCUUGUCUUCGCCACCUGGUUACGGUUAUAAAAUUAAAAAUUAAUAAAAUAAAAAAUAAAGACUGCAAGUGACGUCACUAGCGGAAGUGCAAGUGUCUGAGAGUGCAAGUCUGAGAAUGCAAGUCUGGGAGUGCAAGUGCAAGUCUGCAGCCAGACCCUCUUGGACAACAUUGCUACUUUCAACUUCCAUAGCUAAACAAUAUGAAUUAUUAGCUCUAAAUUUAUCUGUGUCUAAUAAUGUGCAGCUCACCAUAGCUGGUUGUUAUAGUCCUCUGUCGGCAACUAGUUGUACUUUGCAUUUAGUAUUGAAUUUUAUUGGCUUCUUUAAAUUAUAAAGAACUGGUCUUAUUAG
RNAcentral lists this long non-coding RNA (1732 nucleotides) under Carassius auratus (goldfish). RNAcentral describes it as "lncRNA (ENSCARG00000037704.1)". The record is from RNAcentral. Lineage: Eukaryota; Metazoa; Chordata; Actinopteri; Cypriniformes; Cyprinidae.